GACGAACGCUGGCGGCGUGCUUAACACAUGCAAGUCGAGCGGUAAGGCCCUUCGGGUACGACGAGCGGCGAACGGGUGAGUAACACGUGGGUGACCUGCCUCUGGCUCUGGGAUAAGCCUGGGAAACUGGGUCUAAUACCGGAUAUGACUCCACGGCGCAUGUUGUGGGGUGGAAAGCCUUGUGCGGCUAGAGAUGGGCCCGCGGCCUAUCAGCUUGUUGGUGGGGUGAUGGCCACCAAGGCGACGACGGGUAGCCGGCCUGAGAGGGCGACCGGCCACACUGGGACUGAGACACGGCCCAGACUCCUACGGGAGGCAGCAGUGGGGAAUCUUGCGCAAUGGGCGAAAGCCUGACGCAGCGACGCCGCGUGAGGGAUGACGGCCU
RNAcentral lists this ribosomal RNA (385 nucleotides) under uncultured bacterium. Its description in RNAcentral is "bacterial SSU rRNA". It matches the Rfam family "Bacterial small subunit ribosomal RNA", at positions 28 to 417 of the family's 1533-position model. The record is from RNAcentral.